AGUGAACGCUGGCGGUAGGCCUAACACAUGCAAGUCGAACGGCAGCACAGUAAGAGCUUGCUCUUACGGGUGGCGAGUGGCGGACGGGUGAGGAAUACAUCGGAAUCUACUUUUUCGUGGGGGAUAACGUAGGGAAACUUACGCUAAUACCGCAUACGACCUACGGGUGAAAGCAGGGGAUCUUCGGACCUUGCGCGAUUGAAUGAGCCGAUGUCGGAUUAGCUAGUUGGCGGGGUAAAGGCCCACCAAGGCGACGAUCCGUAGCUGGUCUGAGAGGAUGAUCAGCCACACUGGAACUGAGACACGGUCCAGACUCCUAUGGGAGGCAGCAGUGGGGAAUAUUGGACAGUGGGCGCAAGCCUGAUCCAGCCAUACCGCGUGGGUGAAGAAGGCCUUCGGGUUGUAAAGCCCUUUUGUUGGGAAAGAAAAGCAGCAGGUUAAUACCCCGCUGUUCUGACGGUACCCAAAGAAUAAGCACCGGCUAACUUCGUG
This 492-nucleotide ribosomal RNA is filed under the name uncultured bacterium. RNAcentral's name for it is "partial 16S ribosomal RNA". It matches the Rfam family "Bacterial small subunit ribosomal RNA", at positions 29 to 507 of the family's 1533-position model. The record is from RNAcentral.